AACAUACCAAAAUGGACACCCCAAUUCCAAGGGGAAGGAAUUCUGGCUUCAUUUUUUCCAGUGUUUUGGGACACGCUUUGUUAUCCUUCCUGGAUGUUCUGUUUUAGGAGUUGAUGUGAGUCCACACAUUCAGAACACAGUCUUGCGUGUAAGGAAAUUUGCUUGAAAAUGUAAAGAGGUCAUGCUGCCUUCCUGGCUGCUGCCCAAGUGUUCUCAAAGUACUGGGUGGGCCAAUUUCCUGGGACUGACUUGAGAUGAGGAAUCCCAAGGCAUCUUUAAUCAGAGAGACUGACCAAGAUCGAUAAGAGAAUUUCAUUGGACACAGCAGUCCAUCAAGUCAUUUCCAAAGCCGAACUCUGAUGACCCACUGCCCAGAAAGCACAUUUCUCAACCGAUGGUUUAAUCAUGCUUUCCCACUCAACAGUAUGGACUCAAGUCACUGGAUUGAGAAUCACGGAGCACUGAACUAAGGAUUUGGCACAGUACAACAGAAGCAUAAAACCUGGACUGUCUUUUAUUAUGUUUUUUUUACAUUGGGCAUUAGCCAGUGGGUUUCUUUACAAUGUUAUUUUGCUCUGAGUAUUAA
This is a long non-coding RNA of Ornithorhynchus anatinus (platypus), 586 nucleotides long. RefSeq lists it as uncharacterized. Lineage: Eukaryota; Metazoa; Chordata; Mammalia; Monotremata; Ornithorhynchidae. The record is from RefSeq and is a predicted model, not a curated record. The transcript is spliced from 5 exons.